RNAcentral lists this ribosomal RNA (450 nucleotides) under uncultured bacterium. RNAcentral describes it as "partial 16S ribosomal RNA". It matches the Rfam family "Bacterial small subunit ribosomal RNA", at positions 338 to 795 of the family's 1533-position model. The record is from RNAcentral.
CCUACGGGUGGCUGCAGUAAGGAAUAUUGGGCAAUGGAGGCAACUCUGACCCAGCCAUGCCGCGUGAAGGAUGACGGCCCUAUGGGUUGUAAACUUCUUUUAUACGGGAAUAAACCCGGGUACGUGUACCCGGCUGAAUGUACCGUAAGAAUAAGGAUCGGCUAACUCCGUGCCAGCAGCCGCGGUAAUACGGAGGAUCCAAGCGUUAUCCGGAUUCAUUGGGUUUAAAGGGUGCGUAGGCGGAUUUGUAGAAAGCCUACAGCUUAACUGUAGAACUGCCGUUGAUACUGCAAGUCUUGAGUACAUUUGAUGUGGGCGGAAUGUGUCAUGUAGCGGUGAAAUGCUUAGAUAUGACACGGAACACCGAUUGCGAAGGCAGCUCACAAAACUGUAACUGACGCUGAGGCACGACAGCGUGGGGAUCAAACAGGAUUAGAUACCCCUGUAGUC